This 69-nucleotide transfer RNA is filed under the name Diaphorina citri (Asian citrus psyllid). It matches the Rfam family "tRNA", at positions 9 to 71 of the family's 71-position model. Rfam says of the family: Transfer RNA (tRNA) molecules are approximately 80 nucleotides in length. Their secondary structure includes four short double-helical elements and three loops (D, anti-codon, and T loops). The record is from Rfam by way of RNAcentral. Lineage: Eukaryota; Metazoa; Arthropoda; Insecta; Hemiptera; Psyllidae.
AGCCUAUUUAGCUAGGAGGGUAUCUGCCUUGUAAGCAAAAGGUUGCGGGUUCGAUUCCCGCCCGGGGGC